This 1463-nucleotide ribosomal RNA is filed under the name metagenome. Its description in RNAcentral is "bacterial SSU rRNA". It matches the Rfam family "Bacterial small subunit ribosomal RNA". The record is from RNAcentral.
AGAGUUUGAUCCUGGCUCAGGACGAACGCUGGCGGCACGCCUAACACAUGCAAGUCGAACGGAGAUGAUUUGAGUUUACUUAGAUCAUCUUAGUGGCGGACGGGUGAGUAACACGUGAGCAACCUGCCUUUGAGAGAGGGAUAGCUUCUGGAAACGGAUGGUAAUACCUCAUAACAUACAGAUACCGCAUGGUGACUGUAUCAAAGAUUUAUCACUCAAAGAUGGGCUCGCGUCUGAUUAGAUAGUUGGUGAGGUAACGGCUCACCAAGUCGACGAUCAGUAGCCGGACUGAGAGGUUGAACGGCCACAUUGGGACUGAGACACGGCCCAGACUCCUACGGGAGGCAGCAGUGGGGAAUAUUGCACAAUGGGGGAAACCCUGAUGCAGCGAUGCCGCGUGGAGGAAGAAGGUUUUCGGAUUGUAAACUCCUGUCUUAAAGGACGAUAAUGACGGUACUUUAGGAGGAAGCUCCGGCUAACUACGUGCCAGCAGCCGCGGUAAUACGUAGGGAGCGAGCGUUGUCCGGAAUUACUGGGUUUAAAGGGAGCGUAGGCGGGCUUUUAAGUCAGCGGUCAAAUGUCGUGGCUCAACCAUGUCAAGCCGUUGAGACUGUAAGCCUUGAGUCUGCACAGGGCACAUGGAAUUCGUGGUGUAGCGGUGAAAUGCUUAGAUAUCACGAAGAACUCCGAUCGCGAAGGCAUUGUGCCGGGGCAUAACUGACGCUGAGGCUCGAAAGUGCGGGUAUCAAACAGGAUUAGAUACCCUGGUAGUCCGCACGGUAAACGAUGAAUGCUCGCUAUGGGCGAUAUAUUGUCCGUGGCCAAGCGAAAGCGUUAAGCAUUCCACCUGGGGAGUACGCCGGCAACGGUGAAACUCAAAGGAAUUGACGGGGGCCCGCACAAGCGGAGGAACAUGUGGUUUAAUUCGAUGAUACGCGAGGAACCUUACCCGGGCUUGAAUUGCAGGUGCAUGAGUCAGAGACGGCUCUUUCCUUCGGGACUCCUGUGAAGGUGCUGCAUGGUUGUCGUCAGCUCGUGCCGUGAGGUGUCGGCUUAAGUGCCAUAACGAGCGCAACCCUUCUCCCCAGUUGCCAUCGGGUAAUGCCGGGCCCUCUGAGGACACUGCCAUCGUAAGAUGCGAGGAAGGUGGGGAUGACGUCAAAUCAGCACGGCCCUUACGUCCGGGGCCACACACGUGUUACAAUGGGGGGUACAGAGGGCCGCUGUCCGGUGACGGUCGGCCAAUCCCUAAAACCCCUCUCAGUUCGGACUGGAGUCUGCAACCCGACUCCACGAAGCUAGAUUCGCUAGUAAUCGCGCAUCAGCCAUGGCGCGGUGAAUACGUUCCCGGGCCUUGUACACACCGCCCGUCAAGCCAUGAAAGCCGGGGGUGCCUGAAGUCCGUGACCGCGAGGGUCGGCCUAGGGUAAAACUGGUGAUUGGGGCUAAGUCGUAACAAGGUA